This 53-nucleotide small RNA is filed under the name Plasmodium falciparum 3D7. RNAcentral's name for it is "Pfa-starR6631". Lineage: Eukaryota; Apicomplexa; Aconoidasida; Haemosporida; Plasmodiidae. The record is from RNAcentral.
ACUUGAUAAACACUGCAUGGAGGUGCGAAUUUCUAUUUUCGUGCAACUAGGUG